GGGGAAUAUUGCACAAUGGGCGCAAGCCUGAUGCAGCAACGCCGCGUGAGGGAUGACGGCCUUCGGGUUGUAAACCUCUUUUAGCAGGGAAGAAGCGUAAGUGACGGUACCUGCAGAAAAAGCACCGGCUAACUACGUGCCAGCAGCCGCGGUAAUACGUAGGGUGCAAGCGUUGUCCGGAAUUAUUGGGCGUAAAGAGCUCGUAGGCGGCUUGUCGCGUCUGCUGUGAAAACCCGGAGCUCAACUCCGGGCCUGCAGUGGGUACGGGCAGGCUAGAGUGCGGUAGGGGAGAUUGGAAUUCCUGGUGUAGCGGUGGAAUGCGCAGAUAUCAGGAGGAACACCGAUGGCGAAGGCAGAUCUCUGGGCCGCUACUGACGCUGAGGAGCGAAAGCAUGGGGAGCGAAC
This 405-nucleotide ribosomal RNA is filed under the name uncultured bacterium. Its description in RNAcentral is "bacterial SSU rRNA". It matches the Rfam family "Bacterial small subunit ribosomal RNA", at positions 356 to 773 of the family's 1533-position model. The record is from RNAcentral.